Molecule: ribosomal RNA, 250 nt
Filed under: Thraustochytriidae sp.
Lineage: Eukaryota; Bigyra; Thraustochytrida; Thraustochytriidae
Description: Thraustochytriaceae sp. partial small subunit ribosomal RNA
Rfam family: Eukaryotic small subunit ribosomal RNA
Source: RNAcentral
AUAGUACUGUUUAUGGUAAAAUAGGUAGAGACUUAUUAGAGGGACAUUUAGGGUAUAGCGGAAGGAAGUUUGUGGCAAUAACAGGUCUGUGAUGCCCUUAGAUGUUCUGGGCAGCACGCGCGAUACACUGAUGACUUCAACGAGUUUUUUCUAUUCGGAAAAGUCCUUUGCCGGAAGGUAUGGGUAAUCUUUUAAAUGGUCAUCGUGAUGGGGCUAGAUUCUUGCAAUUAUUAAUCUCCAACGAGGAACC